Molecule: ribosomal RNA, 250 nt
Filed under: uncultured prokaryote
Description: partial 16S ribosomal RNA
Rfam family: Bacterial small subunit ribosomal RNA
Source: RNAcentral
UACGUAGGGGGCGUGCGUUGUCCGGAGUUACUGGGCGUAAAGCGCGUGUAGGCGGUUGUUUAAGUCAGGUGUGAAAUCCUUCGGCUCAACCGAGGAACUGCGCCUGAAACUGACCGACUGGAGUCUUGGAGGGGCAGCCGGAAUUCCUGGUGUAACGGUGAAAUGUGUAGAUAUCAGGAGGAACACCUGUGGCGAAAGCGGGCUGCUGGACAAUGACUGACGCUGAGACGCGAAAGCGUGGGUAGCAAAC